GCCUUGCUGUAGCAGCAUGUAAAUAUUGGAGUCACCACUGCUGAAGCCUCCAGUAUUGACGGUGCUGUUGAAGCAAAGC
This 79-nucleotide microRNA precursor is filed under the name Salmo salar (Atlantic salmon). RNAcentral describes it as "mir-16 microRNA precursor family". It matches the Rfam family "mir-16 microRNA precursor family". From Rfam's summary of the family: The hairpin precursors (represented here) are predicted based on base pairing and cross-species conservation -- their extents are not known. The record is from Rfam by way of RNAcentral. Lineage: Eukaryota; Metazoa; Chordata; Actinopteri; Salmoniformes; Salmonidae.